UGUGUGUGUGUGUGUGUGUUUCCUUGAUUCUUUAUUUUUGCUUAUUUGCUACUGUAAGUUGGAAUGCUUUUUAUAUAUCUAUUUCACAUAGUCUGCUAUAGGUUUGUAUAUUGGUAUUGUAUCCCUCAGCUUUUAAAAUCUUUUUUUCCUGAUCGUUUUCAGCAGUCUUUGAGAGUUUCUAUGUCUACAUCAUGCCAUCUACAAGUAAUAAAAAUCAACAUCAUCACCAUCACCUUCAUCUCCGUCUUCAUCAUCAUUAUUGUUAUUUUCUGGUGCUGGAAAAGACAGAGCCUUGUACAUGAUAAGUUUGUGCUCUACCACCUGGACUUUUACCCAGGUCCCUGAGAUUUGGCCUUCCUUCCUUGGAUACGCUGCCUCGUGUUUAUUGAAUCUCUAUCCUUGCUUCGCUGUAAUGAAUCUUACUUGAUCACAGUAGAUAAUCUUUAAUGUGCUGUGUUAAUGGCUUGUUGGUAUUUUGCAUCUGUGUGUUUCAAGGUAUUGGCCUGUAGGUGUGUUUAUGUCUUUGUUAAUUUUAACUAGGGUCAUGAGUCCUUGUAAGGUGGAGGAAUUCCCUCUUUUUCUUUUUUACUUUUAUUUUUCACAAAGGGGAAUAACUUCAGAAGAAUUGGCCAUAGUUCUUUCUAUGCUUGGGAGGUUUCAGUGGUGUAGCCAUCUGAUCAUUGGCUUUCCUUUGGGAAACGCUUUACUGUGAACUCAGUCUCAUUUUUCAUCAUUAGUUUGCUCGAGAUUUCUGUUUCAUUGAGAUUCAGUCUCCAAAAUGCGCCUGAAUUAAAGAAUUCUCCAAUUUCUUGCAACUAUCAAAUUUAUUGGCAUAUAGUACCUUAUACCCACUUUUUAAAAAUACCUUACCCUGAAAUUAGCAUAUAAUCACUUCCCUUCUCAAGGAUAAACACUAGAAGAGUUCCAGAAUUGAAGGCGGUAGAGGUAGAGUUGGAUUGUAGCCAGCCACUAACUUACCUGUCUUCCUUUUCCAUGUCACAGAAGAAUAAAGGAGGUUGGGCUGCGAACAUACCCUGUGUGGCACAGUCUGCGAGCUGCAGAAUCCACUUUGAU
This 1074-nucleotide long non-coding RNA is filed under the name Cricetulus griseus (Chinese hamster). RNAcentral's name for it is "lncRNA (ENSCGRG00000024226.1)". Lineage: Eukaryota; Metazoa; Chordata; Mammalia; Rodentia; Cricetidae. The record is from RNAcentral.